Daphnia carinata is the source of this 1069-nucleotide long non-coding RNA. RefSeq lists it as uncharacterized. NCBI's taxonomy places the organism in Eukaryota, Metazoa, Arthropoda, Branchiopoda, Diplostraca, Daphniidae. The transcript is spliced from 3 exons. The record is from RefSeq and is a predicted model, not a curated record.
CCCUAAAGAAAAUAAGAAUAGGCUAGGUUUGUAUAGUUUGAUCUAUGGAGUGAUCUUUUAUACUGUUGAGAGACCAAGGUAAAUAAUAAUUUAAUUUAAGGCUUAUGAUAUGACAGCCAGUUUUGGUAAAUGGUAAAACGGAAAACAAGAACUUGAAAUUGUCGUCUAACCAAAAUUUGAAGAAAAUGGACCCAAAAAAUCAAGGGCCUGAUGAAAAGCGAGGGCCCAUUGACAUUGUCGCUAUUAAAAAGCAACUCUCUUCUGAAGAUCUUUUCAUUUCUAGUUUAUUGACCAAUAUUCCAACUCGGGGUGUUUCUACAGCUCAAGAUCUCAAUAGUAACAAGGUUGGUAUUGACCUGAAUAGUUCUAUCCUAAACAUUUACACCAGGAACCUUGCUUCCAAUCCUGAAAGAACGUCUAGCAGCUAAGCUCUCACAGUUCACAGGGAAAAAACUGGAUUUGUGUGAUAAGAAAAUGAAAAACGAACUUAAACGAAUGUUAGAUAAAUUGAAGAAGAAGAAACUAAAAAGGAAAAAUAACAAGAUGAGGUCCAAAAUUGCAAAACUUGCACAAGCCACCAUGGCAGCAUCUGUGACACCAACCUCUGAUCUUACAGAAUUUGUCAAAACAGAAAUCCCUGAGCCAAGAGUAGCAAGUACUCUGCUUGCACAAUUGGCUGCUUGGCCAAUUUUCAACAGUGAAGCCUGCCUAAUUUUUGAGCAAAUUUGAUUUUGGAGAACUAUCUACUCCCUCACCCAUCCUGAAAAAACCACGUUAGAUCCAAAAGUGGCAGUGAUUAAAAUAAAAUAAAAGUCAAUGAAAAAGUGAAAAUCUUGGAAGGUAAAAGUGAAGUUGAGAAGGAAAGAAGCAUGGAAGAGAAACAAGCAUGGGAAGGUGCUCUGCAAAGAGCUGAGGGUGUCAAGGUAAAAGACAAUGUGGAAUUGCUUGCUAAAUCAGUUAAGAAACGAAAUAAUAUCAAAUCACAAAGUAAAAAGAAGUGAGCUGAACGCAUCGGAGAACAGAAAAAGAGGAAAGCCAAGAUUAAGAAAAAGAAAAAUGAAAAGAAAGA